ACAUCCAAUUCAGUGCUUUUAAAUUCAGAUCAUUGGAAAUGAAUUUCUUAUAAUUUCAUAAGGAGUGGAACACUGAACACUAGCAAAAAAUGAACUGUGAGCUAAGUACCAAACGAAAGUUUGGUAAAAACUUUGUACUUUGGUAAAAAGUUUGUCUUAAAUCUUCUUAGUCUGUUUGUUGUGCAAGGAAUCAGAGGAAAUUAUUCACCGGGAUUUGUCAGGUGUAUCCAAUUACCUCAACCAACUUUGAAAUCAAUUUAGUCUAUUUGGAAUGGUUUACCAGGUUGAAGUCAACCUUCUUUUCUAGUAUAGUUGUGGUGACAAAAAUAACUUUUAUUCUAGAAUCUUAUUCUUUUGUAGUUGUAAAAUUGUUUAACAGAAUGAACCCCUGCUUUCUUUAGAACUACUGUGGAUUUAGUAUGCUGAUUGG
RNAcentral lists this long non-coding RNA (430 nucleotides) under Bos taurus (domestic cattle). RNAcentral's name for it is "long non-coding RNA NONBTAT021828". Lineage: Eukaryota; Metazoa; Chordata; Mammalia; Artiodactyla; Bovidae. The record is from RNAcentral.